UCCUCCAGUUCAGAAACAGUAAAUGAAUGGUC
Molecule: non-coding RNA, 32 nt
Filed under: Homo sapiens (human)
Lineage: Eukaryota; Metazoa; Chordata; Mammalia; Primates; Hominidae
Source: RNAcentral